UAAUACGUAGGCAGCGAGCGUUGUUCGGAGUUACUGGGCGUAAAGAGUGCGUAGGUGGUGCCCUAAGUCUGGUGUGAAAUCUCCCGGCUCAACUGGGAGGGUGCGCUAGAAACUGGGGUGCUAGAGUGUGGGAGAGGUAAGCGGAAUUCCUGGUGUAGCGGUGAAAUGCGUAGAUAUCAGGAGGAACACCUGUGGUGUAGACAGCUUACUGGACCAUGACUGACACUGAGGCACGAAAGCGUGGGUAGCAAACAGGAUUAGAUACCCUGGUAGUCCACGCCCUAAACGAUGCAUACUUGGUGUGGGCAGUUCAUUCUGUCCGUGCCGGAGCUAACGCGUUAAGUAUGCCGCCUGGGGAGUACGGUCGCAAGGCUG
Molecule: ribosomal RNA, 375 nt
Filed under: uncultured bacterium
Lineage: Bacteria
Description: bacterial SSU rRNA
Rfam family: Bacterial small subunit ribosomal RNA
Source: RNAcentral